This 75-nucleotide transfer RNA is filed under the name Hyphomicrobiales bacterium. RNAcentral's name for it is "tRNA-Gly". It matches the Rfam family "tRNA". From Rfam's summary of the family: Transfer RNA (tRNA) molecules are approximately 80 nucleotides in length. Their secondary structure includes four short double-helical elements and three loops (D, anti-codon, and T loops). Further hydrogen bonds mediate the characteristic L-shaped molecular structure. tRNAs have two regions of fundamental functional importance: the anti-codon, which is responsible for specific mRNA codon recognition, and the 3' end, to which the tRNAs corresponding amino acid is attached (by aminoacyl-tRNA synthetases). tRNAs cope with the degeneracy of the genetic code in two manners: having more than one tRNA (with a specific anti-codon) for a particular amino acid; and 'wobble' base-pairing, i.e. permitting non-standard base-pairing at the 3rd anti-codon position. Lineage: Bacteria; Pseudomonadati; Pseudomonadota; Alphaproteobacteria; Hyphomicrobiales. The record is from RNAcentral.
GCGGGCGUAGUUCAGUGGUAGAACGAUAGCUUCCCAAGCUAUAUGUCGUCGGUUCGAUCCCGAUCGCCCGCUCCA